This 261-nucleotide unclassified non-coding RNA is filed under the name plant metagenome. Its description in RNAcentral is "partial contains small subunit ribosomal RNA, internal transcribed spacer 1, and 5.8S ribosomal RNA". The record is from RNAcentral.
UUUCCGUAGGUGAACCUGCGGAAGGAUCAUUAUUGUAUAACCGAGGUGCGAGGGCUGUCGCUGACCCGAAAGGUCGUGCACGCCCGAGUGCCCUCACACAUCCAUCUCACCCCUAUGUGCACCACCGCGUGGGUCCCCCUUUGGCUUGUUCGGAGGGGGGCUUACGUUUUCACACAAACUUUGUAUGCAGUGUAGAAUGUAUUUUUUGUUUUUGCGAUCACGCAAUCAAUACAACUUUCAACAACGGAUCUCUUGGCUCUC